UCAGGUAGGCGCCGUAGUAAGCGCCACCAUGUCAAAAAGCCAAGGAUUGAAACUAUGUGCAUUGUGCAGUGAACCGAGCCUUUGUGAGAGGACCAAGACAAGAGGUAACACACUGUCCUGGAGUAGUAAUACGCGCCAUCAUUUGGAUCAUAGCAACAUGUAGUUGUGAUCAGCCCUUAUUAUCAGUAUCCAUCAGAAAAAUGUAUGUAUAUAUCAUAUCUAAUUUUUGUGUUUCUACCGUUUGGAUCAGUUUGUUGGCAAUAUAAAAAUGUAGAUAAGGAAGUGAACAAUCUAUGCAUAGAAAAUAAAUGAAAGAAGGUCAUAUAGUCUGAAGAUAUAAUAGCUCGAAUUUUGUCCGACAACUUGGGUGGCAGGGUAAUUUAGUAUAAAUAAGAGAACAAUGGUAGUUCAUAAGGUGUAGUGAUUUAUCCUAUAAUUUAUCUCUUCCCAUCAAACACAUGUUUCUUGCUUCUCUGUGGUUAAACUCUUGUACUCGAUACACAGGACCGUGUGUCCAGUAUGGUACGGCCCUUGGACGCAUGUGCUUCUAUGCAAAGAAGUUAAAAAUAUCACCAUGCGAGCUUCAUUGACUCGAGCAAUUUUUUGGUACAACAAAGCCUGCCAUCAGGUACUGCAUAUGUGAAAUGACCAAGACUUUCACCGCUCCCGGCCAACGGAUGUAUUGUUUGGCCCCAUGCACGAGGAGGUACCUUGCAAGGUACCUUAAACAAUCAAUCGAGGACAUGCGGGUUCAGCUUUCAUGUGGGUGCGCUAAGGAGCGGGCCAGAAUUAUGAAGGGUGUCGAUGAAAGAGCGGUCGUAACAACCAAUUGGUCUGACUUUGUGACAACGAAAGAGCUUGCAAAACAGCAUCAGAUAUGUGCCUUUGCCUUCAAGCCUAAAAAAGGCAGACUGUUGCUCACUGUCCACCCGCUUGAGGUCGGCUACGAAAUCAUACUCAUACUAUUAUGCAAAUACUUGUGAUUUGAUUGGUUAAACAAUAUAAUCCUGGCAGGUUCAUAUAUCAUGGCAUGUAACGAGUCGGCAAUAAGACGAC
Triticum aestivum (bread wheat) is the source of this 1056-nucleotide long non-coding RNA. RefSeq lists it as uncharacterized. The transcript is spliced from 2 exons. The record is from RefSeq and is a predicted model, not a curated record. Lineage: Eukaryota; Viridiplantae; Streptophyta; Magnoliopsida; Poales; Poaceae.